CCUACGGGGGGCAGCAGGGAGGAAUAUUGGUCAAUGGGCGGGAGCCUGAACCAGCCAAGUAGCGUGAAGGAUGACUGCCCUACGGGUUGUAAACUUCUUUUAUAAAGGAAUAAAGUGAGGCACGUGUGCCUUUUUGUAUGUACUUUAUGAAUAAGGAUCGGCUAAUUCCGGGCCAGCAGCCGCGGUAAUACGGAGGGUCCGGGCGUUAUCCGGAUUUAUUGGGUUUAAAGGGAGCGUAGAUGGGUUGUUAAGUCGGUGGUGAAAGUUUGCGGCUCAACCGUAGAAUUGCAAUGGAUACUGGCAGUCGUGAGUACAGUUGAGGUAGGCGGAAUUCGUGGUGUAGCGGUGAAAUGCUUAGAUAUCACGAAGAACUCCGAUUGCGAAGGCAGCUUGCUAAACUGCCACUGACAUUGAUGCUCGAAAGUGUGGGUAUCAAACAGGAUUAGAUACCCUGGUAGUC
This 460-nucleotide ribosomal RNA is filed under the name uncultured bacterium. RNAcentral describes it as "partial 16S ribosomal RNA". It matches the Rfam family "Bacterial small subunit ribosomal RNA", at positions 338 to 795 of the family's 1533-position model. The record is from RNAcentral.